Molecule: transfer RNA, 36 nt
Filed under: Gleichenia japonica
Lineage: Eukaryota; Viridiplantae; Streptophyta; Polypodiopsida; Gleicheniales; Gleicheniaceae
Description: partial tRNA-Glu
Source: RNAcentral
AAGGAGGCGACGGGGAUUCGAAUUCCCCUGGGGGUA